This 371-nucleotide ribosomal RNA is filed under the name uncultured organism. Its description in RNAcentral is "bacterial SSU rRNA". It matches the Rfam family "Bacterial small subunit ribosomal RNA", at positions 527 to 896 of the family's 1533-position model. The record is from RNAcentral.
CGGGGGGGCAAGCGUUGUUCGGAAUUACUGGGCGUAAAGGGCGCGUAGGCGGUUUGCUAAGUCGGAUGUGAAAACUCUGGGCUCAACCCAGAGCCUGCAUCCGAAACUGGCAGGCUAGAGUUCUGGAGGGGGUAGCGGAAUUCCUGGUGUAGCGGUGAAAUGCGUAGAUAUCAGGAGGAACACCGGUGGCGAAGGCGGCUACCUGGACAGAAACUGACGCUGAGGCGCGAAAGCUAGGGGAGCAAACAGGAUUAGAUACCCUGGUAGUCCUAGCCCUAAACGAUGGAUACUUGGUGUGACUGGGAUUGAAUCCAGUCGUGCCGAAGCUAACGCAUUAAGUAUCCCGCCUGGGGAGUACGGUCGCAAGGCUG